AAAAGAAUUGAGGAAGGAACUGAAUUGUAGAUAAAUAGAUCACUGAGGAGAGUUAUAGCAUGUCUGCCUAUGAUGUCUUCAGUAGUUGCCGUCUUGUUGAGAGUUGGGAUUGAAUUACCCGAUCUUUUGAGAUCCACUUGCACUGUCAGAGUAGGAGCAUCUGAGCAAAUGGGAAGGCUGUAUUCUUGAUUUCCUACAUUUUGCUUCAUUUUUCUGCUGGACAGCAUAUCUAGUUAAUCAUACAUGACUGCAGCAAGGUGAUGCAAUAGUUUCAAUGUAACUGCCUUAUCUAGGCAUGCAAUGAGAAGACCUGUGUGGUUGAGGAGAUGCAGACACUCACAGCGUGGCCCCUUGGGCAUAAGAAUAGUGGUGAGAGUUUUUCCACU
RNAcentral lists this long non-coding RNA (386 nucleotides) under Homo sapiens (human). Its description in RNAcentral is "HSALNT0113964". The record is from RNAcentral. Lineage: Eukaryota; Metazoa; Chordata; Mammalia; Primates; Hominidae.